GAGAAAGUAAUAUUACGGUAAUGUUGUUGGCUUGAAACCAGCGUUAGGGGGUUCAAUUCCUUCCUUUCUCG
This 71-nucleotide transfer RNA is filed under the name Sceloporus occidentalis. Its description in RNAcentral is "tRNA-Ser". It matches the Rfam family "tRNA". Rfam says of the family: Transfer RNA (tRNA) molecules are approximately 80 nucleotides in length. Their secondary structure includes four short double-helical elements and three loops (D, anti-codon, and T loops). Further hydrogen bonds mediate the characteristic L-shaped molecular structure. tRNAs have two regions of fundamental functional importance: the anti-codon, which is responsible for specific mRNA codon recognition, and the 3' end, to which the tRNAs corresponding amino acid is attached (by aminoacyl-tRNA synthetases). tRNAs cope with the degeneracy of the genetic code in two manners: having more than one tRNA (with a specific anti-codon) for a particular amino acid; and 'wobble' base-pairing, i.e. permitting non-standard base-pairing at the 3rd anti-codon position. Lineage: Eukaryota; Metazoa; Chordata; Lepidosauria; Squamata; Phrynosomatidae. The record is from RNAcentral.